Molecule: long non-coding RNA, 524 nt
Organism: Jaculus jaculus (lesser Egyptian jerboa)
Lineage: Eukaryota; Metazoa; Chordata; Mammalia; Rodentia; Dipodidae
Exons: 2
Source: RefSeq, a predicted model, not a curated record
CCGGAGUCCUGGGCCGCGCUGGAAAGGAAGGACUGCAGCGUCCCUUGGGGCUUGUGGGGCGCCCAGGUAACCUCACCUGGCCGCCAGUGUCCCGCAGGAGGAGCAGUCUGCCCGGAUUCCAAGGUAAACUUUUUAACAUUGCAACUUCAAAUACUUGGUAAGUGAAACCACCUAGAAACAUUAUGAAUGUUGUAAGAAUGACCUCUAAUUUACUGGACACUGCCCAGAAGUUCUUGAGGGAAGAGAUGAUGUGCUUUCUAUCUCACCUCACAAUGUUUUCCAAAGCAUCUUCAGCAUCAUGGAAAUCAAGCAUUUGUUGAUGGAAUAACAGAGCGACUCAGACCAUCGAGUUCUCUUGACCUGAGAGAACUCCAUAUUCAGAGUGAAAGUGAUCUCAAUUCUCCCCUAUGGUGAUAUGUGACAUUUAAGACAGAGGAGAAGGGGUCUCCUUUGGCUGUGAGAAAGUCUCUGCACACUGGAGCAGUCAGGUCUCUUCAGUAAAAAGCCUUGCUACUACCAGUCAA